This 253-nucleotide ribosomal RNA is filed under the name uncultured bacterium. Its description in RNAcentral is "partial 16S ribosomal RNA". It matches the Rfam family "Bacterial small subunit ribosomal RNA", at positions 524 to 776 of the family's 1533-position model. The record is from RNAcentral.
UACGUAGGGUGCAAGCGUUGUCCGGAAUUAUUGGGCGUAAAGAGCUCGCAGGCGGUUCGUCGCGUCGGCUGUGAAAUCCCGAGGCUCAACCUCGGGUCUGCAGUCGAUACGGGCGGACUGGAGUACUGCAGGGGAGACUGGAAUUCCUGGUGUAGCGGUGAAAUGCGCAGAUAUCAGGAGGAACACCGGUGGCGAAGGCGGGUCUCUGGGCAGUUACUGACGCUGAGGAGCGAAAGCGUGGGGAGCGAACAGG